UCCCGCGUUCAGCACCGCUGGGCGGGGUGGUGGUGCCCAGUGCCGGUGGGCUCUGUUCGGAUCCCGCCGGUCUCCAGGCACUGUCCUCCGCUGCCCGCGGGCAGCUGUGAGGGGAGGGAAGCGGAGGGGACUCUCUUCCCUCGGGGCUACCCGGCGGAAGGAUCGCGCGGAGGGCACGCUGUCUGGCGGUUCCACUGACACAGAUGGCCUCAAGUACCAGGGAAGCUGAGAUAUCUUCUCACAGCGCCAUUUACUCCUUUUGUCCUCUCACCUUAAGAACCGGACAGCUAAACUUGUGAGCGUUCAAAUCUUUUGUAAUGAUCAUGUUCACCGACGCUCUUUUGGACAGAAGAAAGGUUGUGGAUGUUACAGAAGUGACAUCCAUCCUUGCUUGCUGAAAAUCACCUGCCACCUCACCUGGAUACAGCUGUCUUUCGCUCCGAGUCCUUGCUAUCAGGGCCUGGCUUUUCUUCCACGGAAGGAGAUGGGAGCUUUGCCACGCCUCCAGUGACAGCAUGAGGAGAGCAGACACAGGUUAGGCAAGGUGUGCGAGGAUUUUCUGCAUGCUCUGUAAGUAUUUAGGGAACCGUGUGAUAUGUGAUCCUAAAGAUGAGGUUAGGCAGUUUGAACUUUUGAGUUAGACCCAGAUUACGUCCAGACAGGCAAAGCUAUCUUCUGACUGUACAUCUAAAUUAUUUCUUCUGGCAAGUAUCAGGAGUAUGUUAGUGAAAUGUGCCUGGAUAUAAUAGCUUAAGAUAGAGCUAUGCUGGAAAUGUUCCUGCAGCUGUUCCUUGGAAAACAUCUGUGGUACUGUGCAUGGAAAUUUGUACAUCUCUGUUCAUGCUAGCACAGAGCAAUUAAUCUCGUGGAACAAAGUAUAAAUUAUUAUCGGGAAAUAUGAGAAGGACAUUAUGCACCAGUGGACAUGAGAUGACUAAGGGUAGUUACCAUUUGGAAACAAAGGGAAAAAAUUGAAUAUUCCAUUUCUGGCAUGGGAAAUAAGAGGAAGAUUGGCAGACUCUACAGGACUUCCAGAACUCUGAUUGCUAGUUAUUUAUGUAAGAAUAACCAAUCCACAGAAUUUCACCCCUAGGGAGGAGUGAAAUUUUUUACACUUACAAUUGGAAAAAACCUUCCAUCUGUGAUAAUUUGACAGUCUGUGUUUGUAUAGUUUGAUAAAGGGAAGAAUAUACAGGUUGACAUGAUUUCUUAUUUAGAGAUAAUGGUUAUCCCUAUGCAAAGUAGAAAAGGCAUUGCCCUGGAGAACUCAAUUUUAGCUAAAGACAUACAAGGAGGGUAACUUAAAAAGCCCUGGGAUGGGACAGAGAGAUGUAUUUUGUUCACAGCAAGUUACAUAAUUCAGGUAUUUCUGAUCUCUUGAGGCUUUCAACUAAAGCCUGGGUCAUUAGAAGGUCUGCUUACCGAAAUGUAAUGGCCUGUUGUAUUUGAGAACUCAGGCUGGAUAAUCUGAAAAGUGAGUGUGUAAGGAAUUGAGAGCAGCACGAUGAGGAACAAGCUAGGGUAGAUAUCUGACUGCCGGCCAGCAAUUUGUCACUGACUGCUCCUGAGGCAGGGUUGCUGCUAAGAGCUGAUGAGGCUGUUAUGUUGCACUUAUGUUGCAUGUGUGACCUGUCAUGUCAUCUCCCAACGGCUAGGGAUGAUCUCCGUGGUACAGAACAUCCAUACUUGGCCAUUUUACUUGUUUUCUUUCAUGAUACUUGCAUUGCAUGAUGAAAAUCAGAAAUCAAGAUGGAAGUAUCUUCCUGUUGUUGUGUGGAUGCUUUCUGCAAAGGGUCUUCUGGCCUCUUGGUGUUUAAUCCAAAUUAUAUAAAAUGGAUUUGCACCCUGUUAAAUCUGAAAAUAAAUUUAAAAUAACCAUUCACAGUCCUCAUAACCAAAUGCCUCCUAGAAAAUCAUUUUACUCCACAGCUGCCUGGUUUUACAGUCAGAAAGGUGACUGCUCUUUUUUUCUUGGUUUAACUUUUAAUGACUAAUUUAAAUUCCAUUUAUGCAGAAUCCCUAUGAUUUUGAAAAUACCUUCUGAGAUUAUGCACAACUACCUUUCAAAAACAUACUUUGAAAAGCCUUAAGUACAACAUUGCCUAGAAUUAUCUUGUCAAUUAAAUAAAAGAACCCACUUGAAAUAAGUGACAAAAAUAUACAGUGGAUGAAAUGCACCUUCCAGUAACAAAUCGUUAUUAAAGGAGACCUUUAAGCAAACUGCUAGUUAUGUGGUCAUGCUUAGACAAGCACAAGGUUAUUGAAACAUACAGCUUCCUUUCAAGACAAUUUAACUUGCACUGAAGGCAAAUUAUUGCCAUAAAAGCACUGAAGCAUGUUGCUGAGGCAUUUGGUGCAAUUCUCUUGGCUUCUAAAAGGUUACCCUUGCUGCAUGAAGAUGUCAGUGGGAUCAGAAUUGAGUCUACAUCUUCAGCUGCCGUUGCCAAAGCUGCCUGCAACGUCUUCCUACAGAAAAUUACAUAUUAAUCUGAUAUUAUUAUCUAAAGAAGAUGGGAAGCAGUAUUUUAAUAGACUUGAAGAUGCAAUAUAGAUUUCUGACAAUAGUUAUAAUGGAAACAAGUGAGACUGAGCGGCUAACAAAGGACCUGCAAGAGGACUAAUACAGAGGGCACCUAAACCCACCGAGUGCAGAAAUCAUGAAUAAUAAUUGUAUUCAAUGGGUAAGUUAUAAAAUGUGUCACAGAUUUGGAGUCUUUCCUGGUUCUUUCCCUUUUCUCACUGAGGAGGUGGAAUUUGAACGAGGUGGAGCAACAACAACCUGUGGGCAACAAAACUGCCAGUAUUCUUGACGUGGCACUGGUGAAGUCACCCACCAAUGCCUUCCCCUUCUCAAUGUCUUUACAUGAGGGUUUGCACUGGUGGGGGUGUGGUUUCCUCUCCCUCUUCUCAUGCUGGAGCCAUGUCAAGGCCUGCAAAAGGAGAUUUGAUGACAUUACAGAAGUAGGAUGUGUUGGACACUGUGCUGGCAGGCUUGGCAGUCACCUCCUCAACACCACUCAGUCUCUUCAGCUCUGUCUAGAGAAGGGUCUUCAUGAAAACACAGGCAGAGAAUCAGCUUGCCAAAGAAUGCUGUUCACGCUCCAGCCAUUUCCUCACACUCCGUCAGUUCUGGGGAUUGUGGAUUGCUCUGGUUACCAAUAUACUGUACGUGGGCCCUACUCAGGGCCAUGAAAUAAUAGACAGGGGCCUAUUCACGGUGUUAUUUUCUGGAAGAAAAUCUUUUGCAUCUGUGAAAAUUCUCAGUGAAGACUUGGAAUUUCCUUCACAAAUCAAGCAAUGGAGUUCUUAGCUGUAUUUUACAAGUUUUAUGCUAGCUACUGUACAAGGAAUAAUAACAUUUUCUAGGAAAGAUCUGUUGUCCAGUAGA
This is a long non-coding RNA of Strigops habroptila (Kakapo), 3388 nucleotides long. RefSeq lists it as uncharacterized. The record is from RefSeq and is a predicted model, not a curated record. The transcript is spliced from 3 exons. NCBI's taxonomy places the organism in Eukaryota, Metazoa, Chordata, Aves, Psittaciformes, Psittacidae.